ACACGGACACUAAUAUUUCACUAGUGUGUCAUUGACGCUGCAGCAAGACUACAUUACCGUUUUGAAGUUAAAUAAAACAUAGAGAUAAAUCUCUGAGUUUAACAUGUUUUAUUUGGGAAGCAACAACUGCAGUUCGGGGGAUAGACACAGAACGGUGGCCUCUCGUAUGUCCAAAGAACAGAGAAGUUUGGAGGUUUUAUGAAGAGGAGAAAUGCUGUGUAUUGUUUUGAAAUAAAGUUCCUUGGCACUAGUAAGGUUUUGGGGAUGCUGGCGAACACUGAUUUGUGGGUGAUGGUGUUAGAUUUCAGCAGGUUGUUCCAGUGGCUGUUAGAUAAAACUGGUUUCAGGUUACACCUGGCAGUUCCAGCAGCCAGGUCUGCAGAGAAUCGUAUGCUUGAAGGAACGUCUUGUGCCUCAAGCGCUUUACCCGCAACCUCUGGACUCUGUUUUAGUUGAGUGUGACAAGAAAGACCCAAGGCGUAUGAAGCUUUGACCCUGUUUUGUAAACUCCCUUUGAUGCGGUCAGAGUUCAUUUGGGGAAACUUCUGGGAAUAGUCAACACGGCCGGUUGGAAACGGAGGUGGAAUUCAGUGGUUACAGCAGAAGCCUGCACUCUAUCGUCCAGUGAGAGCAGCCCAGGGAUGGGCACUCAUGAAGGAGAGUGAUGCUGCCCACAGGAAGCAGGCCAGUGCUGAGCAGAGAGAACCACAAGAAAAGCAGACAGGUCUGCCCGCGUUUGAGCUGGUAUCACUUGCCCAGCAGGCAGGCAUGGGGUGACACAUGACUGGGCGAGCCACUCGCUGGGUGGGGCAUUCACACAGGUCAGCUCAAACCAGAUGGAGCCUGGGACUGUGACCAAGGAGCGAGUGAAGGUCAAAGCCACACAUGGGGCUGAGGGGCCAGGUGGCCGCCUUAUGAGAUCGAAGGCGGGAAGCUUUGGAACAGGGCAAAAAGGGGAGCCCAGGGUGAGGGGAGAGGGCCGAGCAGCUCGGAUCUCUGAUGGUGAGCUGUGCAGAGAUGGGGAAGCGCCUCUUUUCCUCUUUCAUGUGGGUGUCAGGGGGGGUCCAGGCCUGAGGGAGCCAAGCUGGAGGGUGCAGGGUUUCGCGUCUGCCUCGGAACUGGAUGUUUGAAAGCAAAGGUGAACGGCCCAGCAGGCCCGCUGGGGCACUGGGAGAACUGGUUUUUGCCAUUUUAGGAAUUGUUUGGCUUUGGCUUUUUUUCUCACUAAGAAAUUGGAAUCUGAAAGAGCCUUUCAGCUUAUUGUUGAAAAUCCAUCAGGACCUGAAAAUUAGAGACCGGGCCUGAGCUUUCAGCACAUUUAAACUCACGGGAGCGAGGUGGAAAAGCCACAGGAAGUGGAUGCACUAAUUUAGAAAAUAGGGAGAGGGAAGACAGCGCCUGUCCCCUCCCUGAUUGACCACAGGUAACCCCUGGUCUCUCUGUCUACUGAGGCUGAGUGGCCUGUUCUGGGUCUGACUACCCUACCCUGGGGCCUGACUCUGCCCCGCCCCUCGCAACACUCAACAAACGCUUGUGGAAGGAGUGAACAAAUGACAAGUCACGAAACCUAAAUACAGUGUACUAUUUUAUGGUGUCUUAAACCAUCACGCAAUUCCACGGGUAUGCAGCACAAAGAAUUGAGAAGUAAUUCCGAUAAGAGCAGGGGAAUAGUAAUUGAAACUGACACCCAUGUGACACUUUACAGUUUACAAAGUGCAUGGGUCGCAAUUCCAGAGUCUUCAGCUUUGGAGGAGACUGAGGUGCGGGACAUGGAAAAGAAGGUCAUUCUCUUGGAGCCCCAACAAUGACCAGGAGAAAUUCAUUUGGCGGUAAAACCACACGAACCCUAUUACAUCACCAAGCCCUCACCGUUUCCAGCACCCAGGGUCUCUACAAAGAGGCAAGCUGGGACUGAAAUCUCUCCCGAGUGUGGAAGACGGACGGGAGCAGCAGCCGGACAGCACAGCUCAAGGCCGAGAGGCUCACUGGGUGACUCGGGCCGCUUUGGGGUGGCUGUGAGAAGCGAAGGGAGGCUGACUCGGGGUGUGGUGGGGAGUGAAGCCACCACCUUAUUGCCUAGGCCUUCCCUUGAUGCACUUGGAAAAUAAGUUGCUCUUUCUUCACCGGGUGGGGACAUUAAUUAAUGUUUGCAAAAGUCUUUAUGAUCCUUGUCAAAAGGUGUUCGGCCGGCUCUAAUUAUCCAGGUUUCAGCUGCCACCGCUUCCAUCUCAGCACAGCAUCUCUGCCCUGGAAGAUGUCAAACAAGAUUGCUGUUGUCAGGAUGUGCAUCCAGCUCAUGUGGAUUUCUAUCUGCAUCUCCAAAUACUGCCCAGAUUCCAAAGCCCUGCAAGGGGAUGGUAUCUUGUUUGGGGAGAUGAGACCUGUGCCCCGCCCAGCUCCACCCCGUAAGAAGGCAGCUGCCUGGGAGGUAUAAUUUGAUAAGUUUCUGGAAGGACUCACACAUCCAAAACCAACUCCCCAUGUCUUCUCAUGGGGGCCGGAAAUUCCUCCACUAAAAAUUCACUCCUUCACGGGUCUUCGAUGCUUUCUCAAGUAGUCUAGGACACGGUGGUGGAGGGAGAACCAGCCCAGGAGCCAGGCAGCCUAGCCCUGGGUUUCCUCCUUGUGUGGGUGCUGGCUCUGCCCUUACCGGCCUGGUGACCUGGAUAAACUCAUUCUCUUUCUUUCUCAUUUUUUCCACCUAAAAUGGCAACGCUAAUGCCUGUCUCACGUGCUGUCGUGCAGAUUAGAUGAGAUAAUGGAUGUGAACGCCAAGUGUUGCAGAGACGUAAGCGGCAUUAUCGUUACUGAAAUGUCCCAGCCAGAUCAUCCCCAGGAGGGAUUAAUGGCCCACCAGGACAGGUGGGCACCUGGGGUGGUCGGAAGAGCCAGGAGAACCACAGCAGGGAAAAAGACUUCAGGAAAGGAAAGGAGAGAGACCCCACCGCUGGCACAACCACAGAAGUUUUGGGGAUGAGGAGGGGCUCUAGAUAUUUCCCCACUUCCCCAGACAGCCGUGUGCCCUUACAGGGGAACUGAAGCUGCCCACCCGGCUCAGGCCUGACCCCCCAGGUACCUGCUGCCCCAGGUGUGCGGGAGGAGGGUGAUGGCAGACGGACACCCACCUGGUGAAAGAGCCAGUCAGAAAAAUAACUGAGCGUGCCUGGGUGCAUGCAGACACAUCCCCAGGUAAUUUAGACAAAAAGGCCCCGUGUUGGCACGAGUAGCCCAUGGAUGUCAGACCAGAGUAAUUGCUUUCUUUGUCAGAAUUUCCUGCAUAAUUUCCUCUCCUUUGUUUAGCUGAGAGAACCUGGCCUUGCAUCUGGGAGUCUGCUUGCCAAACAUGAUUGGGUUCUUAGAGAUGAAAGACACAGAGUGAGCUAUUUUCCAUAAACACACUGGCACAUGUGUUAAUUACUGCAAGGAGAAAACCAGCCCCCAUGUUUCACGUGGGAGGUGCGUGGUGCUGUGGGGGGAGCGAUGGGUGGAGGGAGGACACCCUUCAGGAUCACAGUAGCUACUUCUCACCAGGACACUGCUGCCAUCCAGCCUUUGUUCUGGGCAUUUUGCGUUAAAAAUCUCAUUUAAUCUUCACAACAGGCCUGUGAGGCAGAAUCCAGGAAUGGAAAGAACUCGGGUUUAGAAGCCAAACAUUGCUGGAUUUAGUUCUGUCCUCAGCCACUUACUGAGUGAACGGGGCAAGCUACUUGCUUACUGGAGCUUCAGUUUUCCCGUCUGUUAAAUGGAAAUAAUACUGGCUUCAGUGUGUUGUGAGAAUUCCCUAUAGUAAUGACUGUGAAACAGCUGAAACCCUGCAGGCAGGUGGUAAAUGAUAGCUCUCGUGUUGCCCUUUAUGGAUAAGGAUGCAAGAAGUUUAGGAUGGUUGGCCAAUGCCACACUGCUGGUCAGCAGCAGAGCUAGGUCCGUCUCCCUGCCAAAGGCAGGCAUUUUGCUCAGAGGCCACCAAACCCAUACCCUUGGUGGCCAACAUGGCAGCGGCCGGAUCGGAGUCUCCCCCCAGUACUUUGUAAGCCCAUUGAGGGUAAGACUAUGCAUCAGAUCUCUUGGCAUCCUUGGUAUCCUUGGCAGGUCUCUUGGUAUCCUUGGCAUCCUCUCUCACAGUGCCGUAAAUGUUCCUUAAAUGGAUGAAAGCAUUCAGGAGCACCUAGAAUAGAUUGAGCAGAUAACCGCAUAACAGGUGUCCACUGUGUGCAUAUAACUUCAGCCUCUUCUGCGUUGUUGGGACAUGAAGUCCCUUCGCUUUGCAUGGAAAAUAGUCUAGGCACCCCCUGGCUGACUUGCCACGAUGCCUGUCCUCAGGACAGGAAGAAGGAUGGGCCCAAGGAGGAGAAUUGCGUCAGAGGUCAAGAAAUGAACUCCAGCAGAAGUAGCACAAACAGGGAACCCAUAAGGAAGCUUGUGAUGAACAAACAUAGGGCAGAUGAAGUGGAAUAUUGGAUGGAAACACACCUUGAAAAUGCACAGACCUGUGGCAAGGGAAGGGAUCACUGCUUAGAUCAAUAGCAGGGCCUUGGACCAUGGUUAGGGGGAUGCUUGUUAGUGCUUCCCUGGGCUGCAGGGAGCCACGGAAAACAGGCCAGGGCAGGAGACCGGCCAGUGACUCACACGGCGGAACACAGGUUUAGAGGAGCAAAAUCUGAAGGGCCCCUCUCCUUCUCCCCACCUGUUUUCUGUCACGUGCUCUGGACCUGAGCCCACAGUGGGGCAGCUCCCUCGGCCUCCAGUGGAAGGCGGAAGCACUUGACAAAAAGCCUCCAGUUAACCGGGGCAAGCAGCAGGGUGGGGCUCAGGCCUUCUGGCCAAGUCCUUGUCUCCCUCGAGUCUCCAGCUUUCUCCUGAGAGGCAAAGCCCUCGCCAGGCAGGCUUUAAUAAGCAGUAGUGCCCUGCACCCCUGCCCAAGUCCCCGGACCCCAUGCUGGCAGGCUACUGCAGCCCCUAUCUUGCCUGGCACAUGGCACAUGGGGUGUCUUGGCAUGUGGGGUGGUGCUGUAUGCCUGUAGUCACAGACUGGCACUCACUGCAAGAGCUUCCAAUGUGUGAGAGCUGAGGCUAGAGUUCCUUGCUGCCUGUGAAGAUGGUGCUGUGACCGGAGCAGGCCUCAUAAUGAGCCGGUGAUUUCAUCCCCUCCAGACAGAAGACAAAGUCUGUGCCUUCUGGGCAAAACAUUAGCUGACCCGUGACACUGCUCAGACCCCAGAGGCCUGGCUCCCGGCCUGCCGGGAGCAGUCACUCCAAACAGCUGCGGCUGUGAGGCCUUCAGAGAGUGGCUAAUUAGGGUCUCACCUGGCCAGCUCCAAUCUGCAACCACAAGCUCGAGGCCCAGCUGCCUCUCCCCAGUGCCUCUGGGGCUCCGCUGCCUCCCUCACAGAUGGCGAGUGACUUCCUUGAUCUGUAUAAACAAGAAUUCUGCCUUAUUCAAACAGCAAUGAUAGAUUGGAGGAUCUACUAUGUACAACACACUGUGCUUGCAUCCAAUGGUAGAGUUAGAAAAAAAAAUGUGAUGUCCUGUGAUGUUAAGAAGUGAAGAACCCCAUGGGGAGGUAGCAGAAAACAUCCAACAGUGAGUGGCAACAGGUGUGCUGGUCACCGAGGGCUUCUUGGGCAAGGUCAUUCAUGAACUGGGUCUUGCAGCACAGAUGUGCUGGGAGUGGAAGAGGACACAGUUAGAUGCCACUUUAUCCUCACUAUAGUGGCACAAAUGGAGAAGGCUGAUGAUGCUGUGUGCUGGGGAAGAGGUGGGUGUGUAGGUUGUCUACCUGUUGGCCGUGGGAGUGUAAAUGAGUCACCCACUCAGGAAAAUAGCUGAACAACCCCCAGGGGUACAUUCCUGUACACCACCACCCAGCAAUUCCACUCGUAGGUAUACACUUCAGAAAACUCUUACACAAAAAUAUUCACAGCAGGACUGUUCAAACGCCCACCAACAGAAGAAUGGAUAAACAGGUGUGUUCACACCAUGGAGUAUCAGACAGCGUCCAAAGAGAGGAAUUACGGCCACCCUAGCAAUAUGGACAAUGCUUAUCAACUUACUACUAAGUGAGAAAAGUAAGUCCCAAAAGAGUACAAACAGCAUGACACCCUCUCAAAGAAGGCAAAGAGAUGUCAAAUAUAAUAUACACAUUUUAGGACUCCAAGGAAUAGGUAAGAUGAGAGGACAGGAUAGGAAAAUAGGCCAGGAGCUGUGGCUCAUGCCUGGAAUCCCAGCACUUAGGUAGGCCGAGGCAGUUAGAUCACUUGAGCCCAGGAGUUCAAGACCACCCUGGACAAUAUAGCGAAACCUCGUCUCUACAAAAAAUACAAAAAUUAGCCAGGUGUGCUGGCAUGUGCCUGAAGUCCCAGCUACUUAGGAGGCUGAAGCGAGAGGAUUGCUUGAGCCUGGAAGGUCAAGGCUGCAGUGAGCUGUGAUCGUGCCACUGCACUCCAGCCUGGGUAAUAGAGAAAGAUCCUGUCUCAAAAAAAAAAGGAAAACACAGAAAGGAGGCACACAGGAUUCGGGGUGACAGCUAUCUUGGGAUAGCUCCCUGCAGCCCAGGGAAGCACUAGGGAGGGAAUGGGAUGGGGUAGGCCACACAGCUGAUGUCAGCUCUUGCUAAGGCCCAGCUUUCAGGCUGGGUGGUGGUUUCACAGGUGACUAUUCUGUUACUUUAAAAUGUGAUCUAUUAGCACAGCUAGGGACGUAGGACUAUGCCUGUAAUAGCAAAAGUAAUAAAAUGCAUCAAAGCCCAGGA
RNAcentral lists this long non-coding RNA (6749 nucleotides) under Homo sapiens (human). Its description in RNAcentral is "uncharacterized LOC105373414, transcript variant 1 (LOC105373414)". The record is from RNAcentral. Lineage: Eukaryota; Metazoa; Chordata; Mammalia; Primates; Hominidae.